Molecule: long non-coding RNA, 1133 nt
Organism: Harmonia axyridis
Lineage: Eukaryota; Metazoa; Arthropoda; Insecta; Coleoptera; Coccinellidae
Exons: 2
Source: RefSeq, a predicted model, not a curated record
GAUAAUCUACACCAUUGACUAAGACUAAACCUAAGAAAUAAGAAUUGAACGCUAACAAAUCAAUCAGGGCGUUUAUGCAUUUUACCUAAGGACUAAGAACUAACACUAUGAGUAAAAAGUUGACCAACUUUUAACUAAGAACUAAGCUCUUAGUUAAAAUAAUAAGGUUCGCAUGCGCCGUAUAGAAUUUCAAUACUAACAAGUACCAGUUACUAUCAUUUGGGGUUUAUCGAUGUGUUCGGUGCAUCUGAAAAAAAAUUUAAUUUAAUUUUUUCACAAUCAAUGUCAAACAUUAAACUAUAGAACAAAUAGAAAGUAGUUCAAGCAUGUGCGCUUACUUCACUAAGAACUAACAAGAGUAUGCAUAAACGCCACUGAAUUCUUAGGUUUAGUUCUUAAGAACGGUGCAUAACCAUUCAUUUUUACAUUAAUUAUAUGCAGACUGAAGAUAGUUAAAUAUGAAAGAUAAUUGUUUGAAUGAAUGAAAAUUACAUUAUUGUGCUGCAUAUUUUCUAGUAAGCUGUACGCUGGAAAAUGAAUCAUGAAUCUUAAAAAAAUACUAACUAUUCACAGUAGUGUCAUUUGGGGUAGUUUAUUGAAUUAACCCUUUGUGUCCUAGUGUGUCCACUGUGGCGACACAAGUUAAUAAAUUUUUUCUCAGACGCCUAAUGCGCUCACCGUAUAGCCACAUAUUUCUUAGUUCGCGUAAAUACCGUAUCUACACAUAGGAGCACGAACUACAUCGCUGAUCCAUACGGAAAUGCAUUGGAUGUAAACUAAUAUCCACGAUUGUGUACUAGCUAUAUGAAGCAGCUAUUUUAUCGUGUUUCGAAGUGGAAAAAAACAUGGAAGAGAAAACAUCAUUCUUAUUUCGUGAUUUGGAAGAGUUGAAUUUUCAGGAUUUAUUCUCUCUUCUAGAAUAAAUACCAUCUGGGAAUAACUCGAAGGUUGAUGAUUGUUCUGAUGAUGAGUUACUUCAAGGGAAUGAUGUGGAAAUUGAGAAUGACUUGAUUGACAUAAAUUCUCUCGAUAUUGUUUAUGCGGACGAUCUUUUAGAAAUUGAAAAUUGUGUUGUACAUCAUUCCAAUAAUUCAAUGAAUGUAGCUGCAGAUCAAGAUUUAUGUAGCAGCGAA